Molecule: unclassified non-coding RNA, 240 nt
Filed under: soil metagenome
Description: partial contains 5.8S ribosomal RNA, internal transcribed spacer 2, and large subunit ribosomal RNA
Source: RNAcentral
AAGACUAUAGACCUGCGGAGUACCUGCGGAGGGAUCAUUAACGAGUGUAACUUACCCUUUUUUUUAAAAGAGGGUAGUACCUCCUGUCCUUUGUAGGCCCCUUUUUAUUGGGGGGCUUUUUAAGACUUUCUGCUUCGGCGGGGUUAUUCCCGCCGGAACACCCUCAAAAAACUCUUCAAAAACUAAUUCAGUCCGAGAAUUUUUGAAAAUAAAAAAAACUUUCAGCAACGGAUCUCUAGA